Vanessa tameamea is the source of this 1607-nucleotide long non-coding RNA. RefSeq lists it as uncharacterized. NCBI's taxonomy places the organism in Eukaryota, Metazoa, Arthropoda, Insecta, Lepidoptera, Nymphalidae. The transcript is spliced from 4 exons. The record is from RefSeq and is a predicted model, not a curated record.
UCGUUCUCAUACUGUGUCUCGUCGUGCGCUGCAGGAGAAGGAGAGAAAGCGUCGAAUAGAAGACUGAUGAUUUAGAUAGUGAAAAGACAGUGCUCCCCGCUGACGCAGUAUACUCGCCGCGCGACCAGCCAAGGACCGCUGCAGUUUCGCGGGUAGGAGCUGGGGGUCCGGAGCGAGGCGUCGGGGGAAUGGGGGGAACGGGGGCGCGGUACUCCCCUGGCGCGCUACAAGUGCGUCGUGCAGCCGUCGUGCUGCAACCCCCCACCACCGUGUGAGCUGCACAGGCAGCAAUUUCGUCGUUGGAAAAAGAAGCCAAAGAAAACGUUUAUGCGGUACACGAUCCGCAUAUUCAGUACGAGUUAACUAUAAAUAAUCACGGGGAACCGCCUAAAUACUUAUCGCUGUCUAAGCCUCUAACACACCAAAGGACGCACGCUUUUGAUCCGCAACAUUUUAAAUUUAAUGAAAUUAAUAACAAUUACUAUAACGAUAAUAAUUUUUCUACAUUUAAAUCUGACCCAAGACAUAGAAAGUCUAAUAGAAGUAAUCGACGAAAUAAUAAAAAUGAACAAAGUUACUCAUGUCAGAGCAACCAAGAUGUUAAGUAUUCCAUUAACCCACAAUUCGGAGUGGUUAGAGCUUCUGAGAAUAAUCACACGACUGAUGCACAAAAUAAAAACAACCCUCGUAAUAGUUUUUAUAAUAAGGGUCGAAUAUACGAACGAAAUAAUUCGGGAAGAAAGAAUAAUGUUGUCAGGAAAACCCAAGAUAAAGAUAAUGAUUUUAAAAGGAUUGGCCCUAAAAGAGCUUCAAAUGGAAGUAAAAAAGUUAAAAAUUUCGAAGUCCACAAUGAACCAGUGCAAGAGAAUGAAAAAGAACGUUCUUUUGAGGAACUUAAAGCGGAGCAAAAAGUACAAGACACAAAAACAAACUCGAUGCCUCGACCUGGAAAGGUUAAAGAGAUUGCAUCAAGAUUUAAUAGGAACAGUAGUGAAAAUUUGAGACAAUCGGUGAAAGAAAAAGUUGAGAGACCAAAGCCUAUACAGAGCUACGAUCAAGCUUAUUUGGAUCAUGUGUUCCCAGACGCUGUAGAAAUUUAGAAUUAUUGUGUAAUGUACGAGGAACAAUAAAUAGAUCUCUUAGUGUUAUGUGCUGUUCUGAGUGAUGAAUCUUUAAGUGUAAAUUUAAAAACAUUUUAGUACUUCUAAUCUAUAGGAUAUUUAUUGACGAAACUGCCUCUUUAUCACCUUAUACAUAAUUGCAGUCUUGCUAAUAUUAUUAUAUGAUAUAAAUCAUGGCCAUAUUGUUUUUAUGAUACAGUAGAUUUUAGAAUAAGAACAUUUCAUGACGUUUACUAAACUCAGCACAAAGACGCUUUUAUUAUUAGAUUUAUGAUAUAUUGUCUAUUUUAAUAACUUCACGUUAUUAUUUUUAUAUUUAACAUCUCGUGUACUUAAAUAUAAUUGAUUUUUAUUUAUUUGUGAUCAAAUAUCUUGCUUUUCAAUAGUUUUAUGGUUCGUUACUGUUCUAUCUAUAACAUGUAUAGUUUCUUUUUGUAAUGUUUUGUAUUGUUGAAUUUUAACUGUAUUAAAUUUAUAAUUUAAAAA